This 253-nucleotide ribosomal RNA is filed under the name uncultured bacterium. Its description in RNAcentral is "partial 16S ribosomal RNA". It matches the Rfam family "Bacterial small subunit ribosomal RNA", at positions 524 to 776 of the family's 1533-position model. The record is from RNAcentral.
UACGGGGGGGGCAAGCGUUGUUCGGAAUUACUGGGCGUAAAGGGCGCGUAGGCGGUUCGCUAAGUUGGAUGUGAAAACUCUGGGCUCAACCCAGAGCCUGCAUCCAAAACUGGCGGGCUAGAGUUCUGGAGGGGGUAGCGGAAUUCCUGGUGUAGCGGUGAAAUGCGUAGAUAUCAGGAGGAACACCGGUGGCGAAGGCGGCUUCCUGGCCUGUUCUUGACGCUGAGGCGCGAAAGCUAGGGGAGCAAACGGG